Molecule: ribosomal RNA, 256 nt
Filed under: uncultured bacterium
Lineage: Bacteria
Description: partial 16S ribosomal RNA
Rfam family: Bacterial small subunit ribosomal RNA
Source: RNAcentral
CGAGUGCCUCGAGCGUUAUCCGGAAUUAUUGGGCGUAAAGGGUGUGUAGGCGGCUAUGUUAGUCUUGUGUUAAAUCUAUCGGCUCAACCGAUAGGCUGCAUGGGAAAACGGCAUGGCUUAGAAGAUGGCAGGGGGUCUGCGGAACUCAUGGUGUAGCGGUGAAAUGCGUUGAUAUCAUGGGGAACACCAAAGCGAGGCAGCAGACUGGGCCACUCUUGACGCUGAAACACGAAAGCGUGGGUCGCGAAAUGGGAUU